CAUUCUCUCACUGCUGCUGACAUUUGGGUUGGCGAUGGUGGCGGAGCAGGCGCUGCGCAUGAUCUUCGGCGCGCCGCCGCUGUCCUAUUCGAUCCCGCCGGAUUUGCGCGGGCAGGUGGCGAUCGGCUCCUUCAUCUAUUCGUUCUACCGCGUUGUUCUGCUCGGCAUCGCCGUCGCCUGCGUUGCAGGGUUGUGGUUCCUGCUGCGGAAAACCGCCUUCGGCCGCGUCGUGCGGGCGGGCGUCCAGAAUCCGGACAUGGUCG
RNAcentral lists this unclassified non-coding RNA (263 nucleotides) under Hevea brasiliensis (rubber tree). Lineage: Eukaryota; Viridiplantae; Streptophyta; Magnoliopsida; Malpighiales; Euphorbiaceae. The record is from RNAcentral.